RNAcentral lists this long non-coding RNA (244 nucleotides) under Haliotis rubra (blacklip abalone). Its description in RNAcentral is "uncharacterized LOC124266802". Lineage: Eukaryota; Metazoa; Mollusca; Gastropoda; Lepetellida; Haliotidae. The record is from RNAcentral.
UUUGACGCUAUCAUACUUCUGUGAUAUUGCUGAAUUUCUGCUGACAUUUGCCUCACGAUCUGCUCAUCACCAGUUAUUGUCACUAUGUACUCCUACACCCAAGGUUGAAGAUAGGCAGCCCUCUUCUCCCCAGAGAGUUAUAUCACAGAUCAGCCAUCGUCAAAGCGAACCUCUCCAGUUCAUGUGUAUCGUGCCUGUCGUGAACAUGUAUCACUGAAAUGCAAUAAAAUAUGUGGAAACGAAA